AAGGCUGAGCUGUGAUGGGGAAGCUCCUUAUGGAGCGAAGUCUUUGAUUCCCCGCUGCCAAGAAAAGCUUCUAGCGAGAUAAAAGGUGCCUGUACCGCAAACCGACACAGGUAGGCGAGGAGAGAAUCCUAAGGUGUGCGAGAGAACUCUGGUUAAGGAACUCGGCAAAAUGACCCCGUAACUUCGGGAGAAGGGGUGCUUUCUUAACGGAAAGCCGCAGUGAAUAGGCCCAAGCGACUGUUUAGCAAAAACACAGCUCUCUGCGAAGCCGUAAGGCGAAGUAUAGGGGGUGACACCUGCCCGGUGCUGGAAGGUUAAGGAGAGGGGUUAGCGUAAGCGAAGCUCUGAACUGAAGCCCCAGUAAACGGCGGCCGUAACUAUAACGGUCCUAAGGUAGCGAAAUUCCUUGUCGGGUAAGUUCCGACCCGCACGAAAGGUGUAACGAUUUGGGCACUGUCUCAACCAGAGACUCGGUGAAAUUAUAGUACCUGUGAAGAUGCAGGUUACCCGCGACAGGACGGAAAGACCCCGUGGAGCUUUACUGUAGCCUGAUAUUGAAUUUUGGUACAGUUUGUACAGGAUAGGCGGGAGCCAUUGAAACCGGAGCGCUAGCUUCGGUGGAGGCGCUGGUGGGAUACCGCCCUGACUGUAUUGAAAUUCUAACCUACGGGUCUUAUCGACCCGGGAGACAGUGUCAGGUGGGCAGUUUGACUGGGGCGGUCGCCUCCUAAAGUGUAACGGAGGCGCCCAAAGGUUCCCUCAGAAUGGUUGGAAAUCAUUCGUAGAGUGCAAAGGCAUAAGGGAGCUUGACUGCGAGACCUACAAGUCGAGCAGGGACGAAAGUCGGGCUUAGUGAUCCGGUGGUUCCGCAUGGAAGGGCCAUCGCUCAACGGAUAAAAGCUACCCCGGGGAUAACAGGCUUAUCUCCCCCAAGAGUCCACAUCGACGGGGAGGUUUGGCACCUCGAUGUCGGCUCAUCGCAUCCUGGGGCUGUAGUCGGUCCCAAGGGUUGGGCUGUUCGCCCAUUAAAGCGGUACGCGAGCUGGGUUCAGAACGUCGUGAGACAGUUCGGUCCCUAUCCGUCGUGGGCGUAGGAAAUUUGAGAGGAGCUGUCCUCAGUACGAGAGGACCGGGAUGGACGCACCGCUGGUGUACCAGUUGUUCUGCCAAGGGCAUAGCUGGGUAGCUAUGUGCGGAAGGGAUAAGUGCUGAAAGCAUCUAAGCAUGAAGCCCCCCUCAAGAUGAGAUUUCCCAUAGCGUAAGCUAGUAAGAUCCCUGAAAGAUGAUCAGGUUGAUAGGUUCGAGGUGGAAGCAUGGUGACAUGUGGAGCUGACGAAUACUAAUAGAUCGAGGACUUAACC
This 1361-nucleotide ribosomal RNA is filed under the name Bacillus cereus BAG1X1-1. Its description in RNAcentral is "bacterial LSU rRNA". It matches the Rfam family "Bacterial large subunit ribosomal RNA", at positions 1552 to 2925 of the family's 2925-position model. The record is from RNAcentral. Lineage: Bacteria; Bacillati; Bacillota; Bacilli; Caryophanales; Bacillaceae.